UCCCCGCUCUUUCACCGAUGCUCCCGGGGCAGCUGGGAGGUGCCAGCGGUGUGUCUGCUUGUCUCACAUCCGUUGCCCUGGCCAGGAGGUGGCAGUGGUGGAGCUCCCUUCACUGGCAGCUGCCUCCUCAGCCCCCAGUCCCCUGUCCGCUCUGGGCACUGGCCACCGAGACACCCUACCUCCCCGAAGACUGUGAGGAAGGAAAGGGACACAGCUGGAGUCCCUCCCACACGCCCCAGAGGCCACAGGUCAGAAGGAGAUGACGGGCCAUCACCGGAGGUUUCAGAGCAGGGGAAGACGACGAGAAGAGCUGUGGUUGCAAAAGACUCUGCUGGCGCCCGGGGCAUGGGCGGGCAGCCUCGGCAUGGCCACUGGCACCUGGGAGUCAGCUGGUCUGGGCAGCGCAGCGACAGGCUGCAUGCAGAAGAGAGAGAGGGAGGCGGCAGACAGGGCAGGGCAGUCCUUGGGACCGAGAUGUGCCAGGGCCGGCGCCCACUGCCUUCCAUCUGGCUUCUCCUGGACUAUCUCAUCAACACCAUGAGGGCAGGAUGUUGCCUUUUUGACCUUUGGGGGCCUGCGUUGAGAGAGGGGCACCAUUCACCCACAGUGACAUACCUGCGAGGAGCAACGUGCAGCAGGAAAAGGGAGAAUGACCCCAAUCUCCAAAGCAGUUGGGAGCAUUAACU
RNAcentral lists this long non-coding RNA (686 nucleotides) under Suricata suricatta (meerkat). RNAcentral's name for it is "lncRNA (ENSSSUG00005007263.1)". Lineage: Eukaryota; Metazoa; Chordata; Mammalia; Carnivora; Herpestidae. The record is from RNAcentral.